UGGUUUCACUCAGCGACUCGGGCCGGGGUCGGGAGCAGGACUGGGAUUGGCUGGCACAUCAAUUUACAAACUUGAAUCGAACGACCAUGAUUUAACAAUAUGUUUCUCAAAACAAUCUCCUGUCGCAGCUGAGACGCCAACUGUAACCCAUUCUGUAACAUUCGAUUUGAGAGAGUUGAUACUGAUACCUACAUGAGUCACCGGUGUGAUGUUGAGUGGGUCCCAAUCCACAUUCUGAAAGGUAUCAAACUCCACAGCAACAAAUGGAGUCUGUUUGGGGGGGUAGAUUGACAAGAUUGGAAGACCCAUGGCAGCACCAAAUGCGUUCAUCGGAGUGAAAUCAUUGGGAACGAGGGAGAAUGCAAACCCGUCUGCAAAACUCGAGUUCCCUUCUGAGUUAAUGACAAACAAUAAAUAGGUGUGGAAAUCAGUAAGUUUUCCAGAAGCUUUAUCCCAAAGGUGAAGAGGAUCUUUAUAUGUGGCUCGACCAGCUUUCCACAAUUCGUUUACAGGGAUGAUUUGGAUGCCUUUGUUGGAAACAUAAGUAUCUCCUUCUAUGACGAUAUUUUUAACCGUUGGAUCAAUAUUGGUGAGGUUGAAGCUCAGUGCAUUUGCAUGAAGAGGGAAGUAGUAAAGGGUGAUCACAAAGUAGAAGAAGAAAAGAGAACAAAGGAAAGUAUGUGAUCGGAGGGGGGAGUUCCAUGAGUUGAAAACAGCCAUAGCUAUGGUUGGUUGUGAGGAAGUGGUUUCUUGAUGAGUGAGUUUGACAUAUAAAUUAGUAAAAUAACUAUAGGAUGGUCACUCGUUGUUCCAAAAGUUUGUUCAAUCAGUCUUUGUUUAGGGUCAAAGGUAUAAUUUUCUUGAUUGCUUGCAUUUCUCAUGGGUGGGAUCCUACACAUUUAGUAGGAUAAAAACAAGCACUUCGGGAAGCAAAAAGUCGAACACAAGACUCUUUACACUGGAAUGAAAGUGAAAUCCAAUGAUUAUUUUUAGUUUUUUU
Camellia sinensis is the source of this 1000-nucleotide long non-coding RNA. RefSeq lists it as uncharacterized. The record is from RefSeq and is a predicted model, not a curated record. NCBI's taxonomy places the organism in Eukaryota, Viridiplantae, Streptophyta, Magnoliopsida, Ericales, Theaceae.